GUAGGGAAUAUUGGGCAAUGGAGGCAACUCUGACCCAGCCAUGCCGCGUGUAGGAAGAAUGCCCUCUGGGUUGUAAACUACUUUUAUACGGGAAGAAAAAAUACUACGUGUAGUAUACUGACGGUACCGUAAGAAUAAGGAUCGGCUAACUCCGUGCCAGCAGCCGCGGUAAUACGGAGGAUUCGAGCGUUGUCCGGAUUUAUUGGGUUUAAAGGGUGCGUAGGCGGAUUUUUAAGUCAGUGGUGAAAGCCUGCAGCUCAACUGUAGAAUUGCCAUUGAAACUGAAAAUCUUGAAUUUGGUUAAAGUAGGCGGAAUGUAUCAUGUAGCGGUGAAAUGCUUAGAUAUGAUACAGAACACCGAUAGCGAAGGCAGCUUGCUGAACCAAUAUUGACGCUGAGGCACGAAAGCGUGGGGAGCAAACAGGAUUAGAUACCCUUGUAGUCC
Molecule: ribosomal RNA, 445 nt
Filed under: uncultured bacterium
Lineage: Bacteria
Description: bacterial SSU rRNA
Rfam family: Bacterial small subunit ribosomal RNA
Source: RNAcentral